GCAUUCUUGACUAAUGCCUCGAUUGAAUUCUUGCUUAGAUUUAGUCGAACAUCAAAGUCGGUUUCGUAUGGAGGUCUUAUGGAGGAUGCUUUUGGAAAUUGGGGCAGAAUCUUGAUUCAACUCUGUGUAUUAGUUAAUAACAUCGGCGUGCUUAUAGUUACAUGAUCAUCAUAGGUAUCAUCUUGAUUGAAUUUGAGUUGUGUUUGUAUCUCAUAUGCAUCUCUGUCGAGUAACUAUCAAUUUCUUCAGUUUUAGCUAUGCUUGAUCUCAAUUGAUCGGACACUUAUUGACUUAUUCAUUGCAGGUGAUGUGCUUUCUGGAACCACAUCUGAUGGAAUUCACCACGCCGGUGUUCUGGAGGGUUGGUUUGGAGAACAGUGGUGGACUGGACGGUUUUUCGUUCUCGUUGUAACCACAGUUGCUGUAUUCGCG
This 432-nucleotide long non-coding RNA is filed under the name Salvia miltiorrhiza (redroot sage). Its description in RNAcentral is "long non-coding RNA (SMIL_LNC001079)". Lineage: Eukaryota; Viridiplantae; Streptophyta; Magnoliopsida; Lamiales; Lamiaceae. The record is from RNAcentral.